Molecule: ribosomal RNA, 488 nt
Filed under: Streptomyces bungoensis
Lineage: Bacteria; Bacillati; Actinomycetota; Actinomycetes; Kitasatosporales; Streptomycetaceae
Also listed under: 1 other name
Description: bacterial SSU rRNA
Rfam family: Bacterial small subunit ribosomal RNA
Source: RNAcentral
GAGUUUGAUCCUGGUUCAGGACGAACGCUGGCGGCGUGCUUAACACAUGCAAGUCGAACGAUGAACCACUUCGGUGGGGAUUAGUGGCGAACGGGUGAGUAACACGUGGGCAAUCUGCCCUUCACUCUGGGACAAGCCCUGGAAACGGGGUCUAAUACCGGAUAUCACUCCCGCAGGCAUCUGUGGGGGUCGAAAGCUCCGGCGGUGAAGGAUGAGCCCGCGGCCUAUCAGCUUGUUGGUGAGGUAAUGGCUCACCAAGGCGACGACGGGUAGCCGGCCUGAGAGGGCGACCGGCCACACUGGGACUGAGACACGGCCCAGACUCCUACGGGAGGCAGCAGUGGGGAAUAUUGCACAAUGGGCGAAAGCCUGAUGCAGCGACGCCGCGUGAGGGAUGACGGCCUUCGGGUUGUAAACCUCUUUCAGCAGGGAAGAAGCGAAAGUGACGGUACCUGCAGAAGAAGCGCCGGCUAACUACGUGCCAGCAG